CUCCAUGCCAAUAAAUUUUUUUCUCCUUAUAUAUAUCAUAUUUUGAGGAGAUUUUUGUAAAAAAUUAGUUAGAGAACUAAUUUAUUAUAAAAAAAUAUGAAAAAGAGUAUCCCAUAUUUUUUUGAUAUAUUUUGGGAUAUAGAAUUUUGAAGGAAGGUGGAAUCCUGUAAGAGUCCAGGAUCACUAGGACUCUUCACCCCACCUUCUUACAUGUC
RNAcentral lists this long non-coding RNA (215 nucleotides) under Elaeis guineensis (African oil palm). Its description in RNAcentral is "long non-coding RNA (EGUI_LNC052037)". Lineage: Eukaryota; Viridiplantae; Streptophyta; Magnoliopsida; Arecales; Arecaceae. The record is from RNAcentral.